RNAcentral lists this long non-coding RNA (951 nucleotides) under Theobroma cacao (cacao). Its description in RNAcentral is "long non-coding RNA (TCAC_LNC002777)". Lineage: Eukaryota; Viridiplantae; Streptophyta; Magnoliopsida; Malvales; Malvaceae. The record is from RNAcentral.
CUUCAUGCCUGGGAUAGCUAAGGAGGAGGUGGUCCUGGGGGGCCACCAGGAGGGCCUCCGGGGGGUCCUGGAGGGCCACCAGGUGGUCCUGGCGGGCCACUAAAAGGUCCAGGUGGUCCCGGCUGGCCACCAAAAGGUCCAGGCGGACCACCAGGAGGUCCAGCAUAAGGUGGAGCUGGGCCUGGUAGAGAUGGAGGUGGAGCAGGCGCAACGGGUGGUGGAGGAGCCGGAGCAGGAGGUCCAGGAGGUGCAUCACCUGGGCCGCCAGGAGGCCCUGGUGGAGGUGGACCGCCGAAGCAGUCUUGGAUCAACCAGCAACAGCAUAACACAUAUAGACUGCCAAAAAUUUGCGGGUAAAAGUUAAAAAAAAAUGAAAAAAAAACAGUAAGGGGGUUUUCUUUUGGUCUAGACAAUAAACAGUAAGUUCAAGGAAGAAGUUUAAUACGACUAUGUCUAUCUUAUCAUUCAAAGAGGAAUUAUACAUUUUUAUCUCUUUUCUUGUCAAAAUUUCCAUUUUUUGUUUAGCUAGAAUUGAGGCAAAAGUUUGUUUCUGUCAAGUCAUGCUAAUGCCUGCAUACUGAAAAGAAAGAGUGAUCUAUAAAGAAAAAUGCCAAAUUCUUCUUCGUUAGAAAGAAAGCUUUAAACAGUUUAGAAAAUAUUACUAACCAAGAAGAUACCCCACUGCACAAGCCAUUGAAGAAGCCCACAAUCAACCCCCCCGGCGCAGGCCAGGGAGCUCCAGGACCGCCCGGUCCUGGAGGACCAGGUCCUCCAGGUCCUGGCCCAGGCCCUCCAGGUCCAGGUGGUCUCAUUUUGCCCUACGACUGCACUCGAGCAACAAUGCAGCCAGUACCAGUAGAAAACUGGCAGGAGCUCGAAUUCUCAGUGUCAAUGGCAGUCCCCUGAAAUGGUGUUAGAGUAGCUUGAAUACAAUCUCGAGAAAUCCCCAGU